Vigna angularis (adzuki bean) is the source of this 107-nucleotide non-coding RNA. Lineage: Eukaryota; Viridiplantae; Streptophyta; Magnoliopsida; Fabales; Fabaceae. The record is from Rfam.
AUCUGAUGGUGAGGGCAGCUUGCACAAAGCUUCUUGAAUCUCUCCCAGUACUCAUACAAGCUCUCCCUACCAAGCUGCCUAAUCCCAGAUAUAUCUUUCCUGAUUGU